Molecule: ribosomal RNA, 450 nt
Filed under: uncultured bacterium
Lineage: Bacteria
Description: bacterial SSU rRNA
Rfam family: Bacterial small subunit ribosomal RNA
Source: RNAcentral
GAUGAACGCUGGCGGCGUGCUUAACACAUGCAAGUCGAACGGGAAACCUUUUAAAGAAGCUUCGGCAAAUUUAGCUGGUUUCUAGUGGCGGACGGGUGAGUAACGCGUGGGUAACCUGCCUUGUACAGGGGGAUAACAGUCAGAAAUGACUGCUAAUACCGCAUAAGCGCACAGGACCGCAUGGUCCAGUGUGAAAAACUCCGGUGGUAUAAGAUGGACCCGCGUUGGAUUAGCUAGUUGGUGGGGUAACGGCCUACCAAGGCGACGAUCCAUAGCCGGCCUGAGAGGGUGAACGGCCACAUUGGGACUGAGACACGGCCCAGACUCCUACGGGAGGCAGCAGUGGGGAAUAUUGCACAAUGGGGGAAACCCUGAUGCAGCGACGCCGCGUGAAGGAAGAAGUAUCUCGGUAUGUAAACUUCUAUCAGCAGGGAAGAAUUAGGACGGUAC